UGCCAGCCGCCGCGGUAAUACGUACUGUGCGAACGUUAUUCGGAAUCACUGGGCUUAAAGGGUGCGUAGGCGGCUUUGUAGGUCAGAUGUGAAAGCCCACGGCUCAACCGUGGAAUUGCGUUUGAAACCACAAAGCUUGAGGGAGAUAGAGGAGAGCGGAACUGAUGGUGGAGCGGUGAAAUGCGUUGAUAUCAUCAGGAACACCGGUGGCGAAAGCGCAUCACUGGAUCUUUUCUGACGCUGAGGUGCGAAAGUGUGGGGAGCAAACAGGAUUAGAUA
Molecule: ribosomal RNA, 279 nt
Filed under: uncultured bacterium
Lineage: Bacteria
Description: partial 16S ribosomal RNA
Rfam family: Bacterial small subunit ribosomal RNA
Source: RNAcentral